AAACCUCUUCCAGAGUAUCAUUGGAGGGCAAGUCUGGUGCCAGCAGCCGCGGUAAUUCCAGCUCCAAUAGCGUAUAUUAAAAUUGUUGCAGUUAAAAAGCUCGUAGUUGAAUUUCUGCUGCUCCGCCUUUUCCCCUUUACGAGUUUUGGCAUUGUGGCUUAUUUCGGAUUUGCUU
RNAcentral lists this ribosomal RNA (175 nucleotides) under Theileria sp. RNAcentral's name for it is "partial small subunit ribosomal RNA". It matches the Rfam family "Eukaryotic small subunit ribosomal RNA", at positions 527 to 702 of the family's 1831-position model. The record is from RNAcentral. Lineage: Eukaryota; Apicomplexa; Aconoidasida; Piroplasmida; Theileriidae.